GACGAACGCUGGCGGCGUGCCUAAUACAUGCAAGUAGAACGCUGAAGGAGGAGCUUGCUUCUCUGGAUGAGUUGCGAACGGGUGAGUAACGCGUAGGUAACCUGCCUGGUAGCGGGGGAUAACUAUUGGAAACGAUAGCUAAUACCGCAUAAGAGUAGAUGUUGCAUGACAUUUGCUUAAAAGGUGCAAUUGCAUCACUACCAGAUGGACCUGCGUUGUAUUAGCUAGUUGGUGGGGUAACGGCUCACCAAGGCGACGAUACAUAGCCGACCUGAGAGGGUGAUCGGCCACACUGGGACUGAGGCACGGCCCAGACUCCUACGGGAGGCAGCAGUAGGGAAUCUUCGGCAAUGGACGGAAGUCUGACCGAGCAACGCCGCGUGAGUGAAGAAGGUUUUCGGAUCGUAAAGCUCUGUUGUAAGAGAAGAACGAGUGUGAGAGUGGAAAGUUCACACUGUGACGGUAGCUUACCAGAAAGGGACGGCUAACUACGUG
Molecule: ribosomal RNA, 495 nt
Filed under: uncultured bacterium
Lineage: Bacteria
Description: partial 16S ribosomal RNA
Rfam family: Bacterial small subunit ribosomal RNA
Source: RNAcentral